Molecule: ribosomal RNA, 780 nt
Filed under: uncultured bacterium
Lineage: Bacteria
Description: bacterial SSU rRNA
Rfam family: Bacterial small subunit ribosomal RNA
Source: RNAcentral
AGAGUUUGAUCAUGGCUCAGAGCGAACGCUGGCGGCAGGCCUAACACAUGCAAGUCGAACGGGAGUAGCAAUACUCUAGUGGCGCACGGGUGCGUAACGCGUAUGCAACCUACCUUUCAGUGGGGGAUAGCCCGGGGAAACCCGGAUUAAUACCGCAUAAGAUAGUUGACUGGCAUCAGUUAAUUAUGAAACAUUUAUGGCUGAAAGAUGGGCAUGCGUUAGAUUAGCUAGUUGGUGAGGUAGAGGCUCACCAAGGCUAUGAUCUAUAGGGGUUCUGAGAGGAAGAUCCCCCACACUGGUACUGAGACAGGGACCAGACUCCUACGGGAGGCAGCAGUAGGGAAUAUUGGGCAAUGGAGGCAACUCUGACCCAGCCAUGCCGCGUGCAGGAAGAAGGCCUUCUGGGUUGUAAACUGCUUUUGGAAGGGAACAAAAAGGCUUUGCGAAGCAACUUGAGUGUACCUUCAGAAUAAGCACCGGCUAACUCCGUGCCAGCAGCCGCGGUAAUACGGAGGGUGCAAGCGUUGUCCGGAUUUAUUGGGUUUAAAGGGUGCGUAGGCGGCUUAUUAAGUCAGGGGUGAAAGACUGCAGCUCAACUGUAGCAGUGCCUUUGAUACUGAUGAGCUUGAGUACAGAUGAGGCAGGCGGAAUGGGUGGUGUAGCGGUGAAAUGCAUAGAUACCAUCCAGAACACCGAUUGCGAAGGCAGCCUGCUAAACUGUAACUGACGCUGAGGCACGAAAGCGUGGGGAUCGAACAGGAUUAGAUACCCUAGUAGUCC